UUCGAAACUUCUUUGCACACCGUUCUCUUCCUUCUCUCUUUAAAGAAAAACGGAAACGCGUUUUCGAAACCGCUUUGCACACCGUUCUCUCUCUUCUUCCCACCAAGUUCCUGACUCCAGCAAGACUCCAGCAAGUUAUGAUAAAAUGGAAGAGUUAGCUGAAGUAACUGUUUGUAAAAUAAUGGCAACAAAAAAUGUUGGCCUUGUGAUGCUGCUGUCCUUUUCCUUGAUGACCUAUUGAGCUACUGGUUGAAGAGGCGAAGAAGGGAUCAAAGAAAACCACUACUCUUUCGAGUUCGGGACGGAAAACGGUCGAGCAAGCACACAGAAAAAUUCGAUAAGGAGUUUACUCAUGACCAAGUAAAGAACAAGUACAGCCAGUUGAGGUUGAGGCAGAGGAAUUUCAAGAACUUGGUUAAAGAAACCGUGAUUGGUUAUGAUUCCACAACAGGGAAAGUUGAAGCAGUUGAUGAACACUGGAGGAUGUUGGAUACCAGCAGUGUGAAACUUGAAACUUCAAGAGAUCCAUGACAAAAUUUUCAAGAAGGAAGCUGUAUUCUAGACCAGAAAAGGUAUUUCUCUGUGGCUCCAAGUUUUGUGGACAAACUUUUCUGCCCAAAACUCGCAUGUUAAUACUAUGCUAUAGUUGAGUAGAAUAGGUUUUCAGGGCAUUGUUAUAUGAUUUUAGGAAAAAGAUGUAUUAUUUGGCUGACACUAAAAACCAAAAUGGACUAGUUUUGUGAUUAACCAUGCCCAUGCACGUUGACAAUGUCUUGUGUUUGUUUCUGCACUUUAUACCUCUUCUACCAAGCUUUGUAAAGUUGCUAGAGGUUGAGUCUCGCCAUUUUCUUUCAAAGAAGCGAGCAUAUCUAUCCCCAUAACAAAUUGCUCGUCGACCAAACAAGUUCCCGCUUUCAGUUUUCAGUUUUCAGAAGGAUAAAAAACCCAGCAACCAUACCAAAUGGCCAUAAAAGAAGUUGCAGUUAACAAGAUAGUAACAGACACCCUGAUCAGUUCAGCCUAUGAACACCAGAAAAGAAUUUGCCAGAAGAAAAAAAUGUAGGAGAUGAGAAAGGAUUGGCAAAUCAGUAAUACAAGUUCACUAGCAUGUUUUACAAAAAGAAAUUCUCUAAUUCAAAUCAAUAGACAGUCAAUUACUGCUUCGUUAAUCUCCUUUUACUUCUGCCAAUUCUACAUUUGCACAUGCAUAUGUUGAUUAACCUGUUGCCAGGAUUAUUGCUGAACCAUAAUGAUGCCAACAAAA
Molecule: long non-coding RNA, 1264 nt
Organism: Populus euphratica (Euphrates poplar)
Lineage: Eukaryota; Viridiplantae; Streptophyta; Magnoliopsida; Malpighiales; Salicaceae
Exons: 2
Source: RefSeq, a predicted model, not a curated record